This 324-nucleotide ribosomal RNA is filed under the name uncultured eukaryote. RNAcentral describes it as "partial 18S ribosomal RNA". It matches the Rfam family "Eukaryotic small subunit ribosomal RNA", at positions 1470 to 1796 of the family's 1831-position model. The record is from RNAcentral.
CCCUUAGAUGUUCUGGGCCGCACGCGCGCUACACUGAUGCAUUCAACGAGUUUCUUCCUGGUACGAGAGGAAUGGGUAACCUUUUGAAAGUGCAUCGUGAUAGGGAUAGACUAUUGCAAUUAUUGGUCUUCAACGAGGAAUUCCUAGUAGACGUAGUUCAUCAGACUGCAUCGAUUACGUCCCUGCCCUUUGUACACACCGCCCGUCGCUCCUACCGAUUGAAUGCUCAGGUGAGCCAUUCGGACUUUCAUCAUGCUGGUUUCCAGUUUUGAUGAAGGAAAGUCUUGCGAACCUUAUCAUUUAGAGGAAGGAGAAGUCGUAACA